RNAcentral lists this ribosomal RNA (490 nucleotides) under uncultured bacterium. Its description in RNAcentral is "partial 16S ribosomal RNA". It matches the Rfam family "Bacterial small subunit ribosomal RNA", at positions 30 to 507 of the family's 1533-position model. The record is from RNAcentral.
AUUGAACGCUGGCGGCAGGCCUAACACAUGCAAGUCGAACGGUAACAGGAAGAAGCUUGCUUCUUUGCUGACGAGUGGCGGACGGGUGAGUAACGUCUGGGAAACUGCCUGAUGGAGGGGGAUAACUACUGGAAACGGUAGCUAAUACCGCAUAACGUCGCAAGACCAAAAAGGGGGACCUUCGGGCCUCUUGCCAUCGGAUGUGCCCAGAUGGGAUUAGCUAGUAGGUGGGGUAACGGCUCACCUAGGCGACGAUCCCUAGCUGGUCUGAGAGGAUGACCAGCCAUACUGGAACUGAGACACGGUCCAGACUCCUACGGGAGGCAGCAGUGGGGAAUAUUGCACAAUGGGCGCAAGCCUGAUGCAGCCAUGCCGCGUGUAUGAAGAAGGCCUUCGGGUUGUAAAGUACUUUCAGCGGGGAGGAAGGGAGUAAAGUUAAUACCUUUGCUCAUUGACGUUACCCGCAGAAGAAGCACCGGCUAACUCCGUG